GAUCAUCUGGAAAUGCUCUAAGGUUUUAGUUGUGCCUCCCAAAAAAACACUAACCAGGCUUUAUUUUCAAAUGUAUCUUCUGAUUAUGAAAAAAAACCAAUGCCACUAGCAGAAAAGCAAUUCAGUUAGAUGGUAACUAUUUGAAAAAAAGUUUUGCUCCAAGUUCUCCUGGACAAAAUCUGAUCAUACAAACAGGAAUCUCACACCUGGCACAUCUUUCCCGCACAGAGCAUUCAAAGUCUUUACAGCGGAUACAGCUACUGGAUUUGUCCAAGCUGAAAAUGAAUCACAGUCCUUCUGUGAACCAGACCACCAAGCAAUCUGCUGCCCUUCACCUGCAAGGGGGAGGAAGCCUGGAACCUUAAAAAGUUCCCUCAGGAAGAGGACCAAGGCUAUCAAUUAGCAGAGUAUGCAAGCAUAAGGACUACUGAAGAAUUCCCAUCAUCUCUAGGUAAGAACUCAGUCCUCUCUCCAGCUGAGUCUGUCAUGUUUUCAUCAGAAGAUAUCUACCAUUUUAUACAGUGUUACUUUUGGUUGUCUUGAAUUUUUUUCAUGUUUAUGUUUCUGUAGCUGAUGAAGUUUGGUCAUUACUGACCUCCCCUCACAUAUCUAUGGCAGUAAUUUCACGAUUAUAAGCCGCACUGAGUACAAGCUGCACUUCCGGGUGUCAGUAACUUUUCAUUCUUUGUCCAUACAUAAGCUGCACCUGAUUAUAAGCCGCAUGUUACAAUACAGAGUGUGAUAAAAGGUAUCUAUUCUAUCACCAUCUGUUGAGGGUGG
Molecule: long non-coding RNA, 780 nt
Filed under: Catharus ustulatus (Swainson's thrush)
Lineage: Eukaryota; Metazoa; Chordata; Aves; Passeriformes; Turdidae
Description: lncRNA (ENSCUSG00005000310.1)
Source: RNAcentral